GACGAACGCUGGCGGCGUGCUUAACACAUGCAAGUCGAGCGGUAAGGCCCUUUCGGGGGUACACGAGCGGCGAACGGGUGAGUAACACGUGGGUGACCUGCCCUCAGCUCUGGGAUAAGCCCGGGAAACUGGGUCUAAUACUGGAUAUGACUCCAUGACGCAUGUUGUGGGGUGGAAAGCCUUGUGCGGCUGAGGAUGGGCCCGCGGCCUAUCAGCUUGUUGGUGGGGGAUGGCCUACCAAGGCGACGACGGGUAGCCGGCCUGAGAGGGCGACCGGCCACACUGGGACUGAGACACGGCCCAGACUCCUACGGGAGGCAGCAGUGGGGAAUCUUGCGCAAUGGGCGAAAGCCUGACGCAGCGACGCCGCGUGAGGGAUGACGGCCUGGUGUAA
Molecule: ribosomal RNA, 394 nt
Filed under: uncultured bacterium
Lineage: Bacteria
Description: bacterial SSU rRNA
Rfam family: Bacterial small subunit ribosomal RNA
Source: RNAcentral